RNAcentral lists this ribosomal RNA (255 nucleotides) under uncultured bacterium. Its description in RNAcentral is "partial 16S ribosomal RNA". It matches the Rfam family "Bacterial small subunit ribosomal RNA", at positions 524 to 776 of the family's 1533-position model. The record is from RNAcentral.
GACGAACAGUGCAAGCGUUAUUCGGAAUUAUUGGGCGUAAAGGGUACGUAGGUUGCCGUUUGAAUAUGGAAUGAAAAGCUAGAGCAUAACUUUAGAUAGAAUUCUUUGAGAUUAUUCGGCUAUGAGUUAAAGAGAGGUUGGAACAAAUUCUAGUGUAGGGUUAAAAUUCUUCGAUAUUAGAAUGAAUACCAAAGGCGAAGGCAUCUUUCUGGUUUUAACUGACGCUGAGGUACGGAAGCAUGGGUAGCAAACAGG